This 1689-nucleotide unclassified non-coding RNA is filed under the name Hevea brasiliensis (rubber tree). Lineage: Eukaryota; Viridiplantae; Streptophyta; Magnoliopsida; Malpighiales; Euphorbiaceae. The record is from RNAcentral.
ACAAGAUUGACAUUUUGCAGUAUAGAUCAAUGGUCUGUUACAUGUCAUGCUUCAAAAGUUGUAUCUUGCUCAUUAAGAAUGAUGCUCAUUGUGCAGGUAAUUUUCCUUUUCCCGUUUUCGUGGCGAAGUCAGUAUUUUUAAAUUAUUUGUUUUGGCAAUUGUUACUUAUUAUAUUGAAAAAAGUUCUUGAAUGUUUGUUUUUGUAGUGUUUGCCCCAUUGAUACCUUUUAUUGGACAGAGAGCUGUUCUCGGAUUAUCUGGUUAUGUGCUCAAUAACUUAGCAUUUGUUUUGGCUUCUUUUUAUCUUUACAGGCUCUCAGCUAUUAUCUUGAAGGAUUCCGAGGUGGCAUUGAGACCUACAAUAUUGUUUUGCCUUAAUCCCGCCUCCAUAUUCUACUCAACAAUAUAUACUGAGAGUAUGUAUGCUUUGUGUUCCAUUGGAGGAUUGUAUUAUCUCAUGAGGGGUUCAAAUAACAUUGCAACACUUUGGCUGGCUCUCACUGGAUAUGCAAGGUCGAACGGAGUGCUUAAUGCUGGCUAUAUUUGUUUCCAGACAAUGCAUACAUCCUACAAAACAGCUUUUGUUAGAAAAAGUGUUGGUGGGACCUUGGUAGUUCUUCUUUCUGGGGCUUUACGUAGCUUAUUUAUCAUUUCCCCAUUUAUUGCUUUUCAAGCCUAUGGGUACUACAAUAUGUGUGUGGGAGGCAGUUCAGAUGAAAUGAGGCCUUGGUGCAAGGCAAGACUUCCUUUACUCUACAGCUAUAUUCAAAGUCGUUAUUGGGGAGUGGGUUUCUUAAAGUAUUUUCAAGUAAAACAAAUUCCAAAUUUUGUUCUUGCAUCUCCAAUAUUAUCUCUUGCUCUCUGCACAAUCAUACAUUAUGUGAAGCUAUGGCCUGAGGUUUUUGUGUCACUUGGUUUUCGGGAAUCCUCUCCAAAUAAAGGAAGUGUUGCUUCACCCAUGCCUCUGGGGAGAAAUGCAGGAUCCAAGAGUGUUGGCUUUCAAUCAGAAAACAGAUCUAAUGCCGGGCAAGGUGACUCUCUUAGAUGGCGAAAACCAGCUCUGAGAGAAGAAAACUAUGCGGUACAGCCGUCAGAAGAUGAAUCAUCAGAGAAUCCAGGAUUCAAACCAAUUAUUCUUGUUCCCUUCAUUCUACACCUUGUGGUCAUGGUUGCAACGGCUUUCUUUGUCAUGCAUGUACAGGUUUCAACACGAUUCUUAUCUGCCAGCCCUCCUCUCUACUGGUUUGGCUCAUAUGUCAUGGCAUCACCUCGUCUUAGCAAGAGAUGGGGAUACAUUAUUUGGACAUAUUGUGCAGCUUACAUCUUGCUCGGAAGUUUGCUCUUCUCUAAUUUCUACCCCUUCACCUGAGACGCGUGGUAUCUUGAAGCUGAACUUUCUUUUCGUCUGAUUUACCAUAAUCUCCUCGUUUUUUUGAAGUAUCAUAUCCGAUGGCUACCUCGCAGCAGCAUCAGCCAUUCCAGUUUUGACGAUAAAAGUAGAGUAGAUUGUAGAGGUGUGGAUACUGGUUGCAGAGUUGCUUUCUUCACAUUCAAACCUUGAAAAUCUCUGUUUGGACAUAAUGUUCAAUAGACUCUAACAUGAAUGUAGCAAAACCAAUUUUGCUUUGCUUAUGUAACAAUUUGUAACUAUAAAGUUAUUUCCGUAUGACUUAUACGUCACAUAUUUUA